This 429-nucleotide ribosomal RNA is filed under the name Chloroflexota bacterium. Its description in RNAcentral is "Chloroflexi bacterium partial 16S ribosomal RNA". It matches the Rfam family "Bacterial small subunit ribosomal RNA", at positions 355 to 776 of the family's 1533-position model. The record is from RNAcentral. RNAcentral also lists the same sequence under 1 other name. Lineage: Bacteria; Bacillati; Chloroflexota.
UGGGGAAUAUUGCACAAUGGGCGCAAGCCUGAUGCAGCCAUGCCGCGUGUAUGAAGAAGGCCUUCGGGUUGUAAAGUACUUUCAGCGGGGAGGAAGGGAGUAAAGUUAAUACCUUUGCUCAUUGACGUUACCCGCAGAAGAAGCACCGGCUAACUCCGUGCCAUCAGCCGCGGUAAUACGGAGGGUGCAAGCGUUAAUCGGAAUUACUGGGCGUAAAGCGCACGCAGGCGGUUUGUUAAGUCAGAUGUGAAAUCCCCGGGCUCAACCUGGGAACUGCAUCUGAUACUGGCAAGCUUGAGUCUCGUAGAGGGGGGUAGAAUUCCAGGUGUAGCGGUGAAAUGCGUAGAGAUCUGGAGGAAUACCGGUGGCGAAGGCGGCCCCCUGGACGAAGACUGACGCUCAGGUGCGAAAGCGUGGGGAGCAAACAGG